AGAUAACUCUAACUCAAGUUUUUGAUUGCCAUGUGUUAAAAGUUGCAAAUUUUGAAAAGAUGGAAUGGCAAUUUCUUUGAAAGAAAAGUGAGAUUUUGGAAAUUAAAAAAUCAAUGGAAAAAAGUGAAACGAUAGAAAACCUCCCCUUAAUAAUCUAGGUUUUAUUGUGAGUGUAGGAGGAGAUAUUGCCCUUAGUUUCUCUUUUUCCUUUUCCUCCAUUUCUUUUCUUUCAACUUCUUCCUUUUCUAUCUUUUCUAGAUUCUCUUCCUCUUCUCUCUUUUCUUUCUCUUGUCUUUCCCUCUUCCUUCUUUUCUCUUCUUUCUCCUCUCUCUUUCUUCGUCUUCUCUCCUUUCUCGCUCUCUUCUUUCUUCCUCUUCUUUUCUCUCUCUUGCUUCCUCUUCUCUUCUCUCUUGCUCUAUUCUUUCUUGCUCUCUUCUUUGAAUCUCUCUUUCCCUUUUCUUAUCCUUUAACUCUUGAAGUCUGGCCCUAAAAUCUAUUUCUCUCUGAAAGAAACCUUGAUCUUUUAAACUCUCAAGAAAUACUUUUCCCUCUUGAAUACCAUCUCUCAUAAGUUCCAGGUUUCUUUUAAUCAAAGGAGGCACAAACUUUCUUCUCCUGCAUGAUCUCAGUUCAUACAAAUUUUUAAUGGUGGAUUUCCUACCUUGAUGAAUACAAUGUCGCCUUAUAUUUUCUUGUCUUUGCUUAGUUUAUUUUGCUAGAAUUAAUCAAAGAAUUGUCCUUAAUUGUCUGGUAUUUUCCCGUUUCUGCUAAUUGUGCUUAAUUUGAUCGAAAAUUCUAAUUUUAAUU
This 807-nucleotide long non-coding RNA is filed under the name Vigna radiata. RNAcentral describes it as "long non-coding RNA (VRAD_LNC014175)". The record is from RNAcentral. Lineage: Eukaryota; Viridiplantae; Streptophyta; Magnoliopsida; Fabales; Fabaceae.